UGUAGGAAAAGUGAAACAAGCAGGCUCGUGAAUCUCCAGUGAUACAGACCCCCAAAAAAAGAAAAAGUUUCCAGUAUUCUCUAAAUGUGAAGUCAAAACUCAUCAUUUCCUCCCCAAACUUUUACAAGGCAUGUUUAAGAAAGAAUUACAGAUAAAAGUGAAAUAAACAUGCGAAGGCUGGUGAGGUGGAUGAAGAAAGCUUAAUGCCCUGCAAUCACUGACAUUUAGAGCGUAUCUUCAUUGCAGUAGUUGGAUUUCUCAUUUUAUCAAAUAUUUAGCAACUCACACUUUUGGCGAGAUCCUGUACACACAGGAACUGGAAAGGCCCCAUUUUGACUACAGUAAUGAAAAAGACCGAGAAGUAGGACAUGAAGAAAGAAAAAUUUUGGAAGAAAAAUGAAACAGCCAAGAUAAUUUGGAAUCCCCUGCUCAGCAGAGUGCUCUUGUGCUUUUCGUUCUGAGAAAUUUUAUCCCUUUAAAAUUUGCAUCGUAUUCCAAACAUAAGUUUGAAUAGGUGAAGAGCUGGAGCAAAAAGAUAAAAGUUUGGAAAUGCUUCUGUGCAAACCCCAGAGAUAUUAAGAGCUUUCUUUUGGGUGCAGGAGAUAGGAUGGAGGAGAUAUUGUAUGAUUACAUUUUAAAACUGUCUAGAAGUAAUGUAUUAGAGAUGAGGCAGAACUAGCUCUCUGCUCUGAUUUGUUUCUUGCCUCUGAACUGCUGUUUCUUUGGCCUUGUAAAUGCAGCAUUAUAAUGUAGAAGUCCUAAUGUUACUCUCACUCAAAUCAAUGGUAAAACUCUAAGUGACCUCAAGCAGAGAAAUGUACACGUUCUAGCGAAAUAACAGAAUGUAGCACAUCUUUCUUUAUACUGCACAUGUCCAUUUGCUGCAACAUAUGGAAUCAAAACAGACUCAAAUACAUAAAUUAGCUGAGUCAUAUGUUGGAAAAUAUUGCUUAUUUAAACACUGGCACCAUAGCAGAAAUCUGUUAGCUGUGCCAUUCUUGCAAGUGUAACAGUGAGAGAGAGGUAAAAAUGUGCAGGAGUGACAGACAACCAGCCUUUUCUAAAAGGCUGGCCCUUGAAUAUCAGCAGCUACAGUAGAACCAAAUUUUCAUUAUUGAAUUUUCCUUUUCGCUAGGUAAAAUGACGGAAGUGGCAAGCCAGGCAAAGACAAAAAUAGACUGUGAAAGAAUUUGGGAAGCAGUAAAAAUUUAGCUUUUGGGAAUCACACUACAAAUUUUUGUUUCUACUUGCAGAUCUCCACAACAGCACAAGAAUUAAAACAAUCCUAGUGAAAAGAAAAAAUAGAUUGCAUUUGGACCACGAGCAGCUGAGUUUUCCACAGAGCACUCUUCAAACCACUGCAAUUUCUCCCUCUCAGUUCCCCUUCCGGGAAACAUCUACAUAAGAUGAUUUUGCAAUAGCGAGAAUUACCUAAGAUGGCUUUCUCUGCCACCCAGUUUAGGGCAUUUCCUAGCUGUUAAAAGCUGCACUUUUUGGAGAUGAGCUUCCCAGCAGAGGAGUGGGGAACAAGGACUCUGGCAAUGGAGCCCCAAUAAUGUUUGGAAGGAGGAAGGGACAAUGAAGUGCCACCUCAAAUGGGCACACACAAACACAGUGAGAUGCGAUGUCGGACUGCAAACUCUUCUCAGCAUUCGGUCUCUCAUCUCAACAGUGGAUUGUUCCAUCAAAACUACUUAUCAGUAAUGUUUCAAAGAUGCCUAAAUCAAAUCAAGAGCGGCAAUGUAGAUUUCCUUCACUUCCAUAGAAAACAGUAAUAGAGUUCUCCUUUCUGGAUUUUGUGUUCAAAACGUGGAGACAAGAACCAGAUUCUUUCAUCAGGACAAGCAGAGAUCAGAAAAACACUAAGGGAAGCUUCAGACAAGAACAUGGCUAACCAGAGAUCAAGAGAAAGAUGUUUUGAAAGACAGACAUCUUGACAGGCGUCAGGGCUAGAUCCAGCAGAAUCCAGCAGGAUCAUGAACCAGGUUUUAGCAAGCCAGGUAACAGGAACAGAAUGAGCAGCAAGUCCCAUGCAGGCAGGAGGCAGGGUCAGAGCCCGGGGCUGAGGUGCCGAGGCAGGAGCGGAAUCAGGGUAGAAGGGGUAGCAGCAGCGUCAAGACUACAGAGGAGUGAUCAAAAGAGUGACUGCGACAGCGGAGCAGAAACCAGGCUCUAGAGAAUAUGGAGCUUUCCUCCAUGCAGAGAUACACGGAGCAGGAAAAAGCAAGCAGUACAAUCCCAUAGUAUAUCUUGCAUUUGCCGCAAAGUGCAGGUCAAUCUCCUUGACCAGCCUUCAGCUGGUUACACAAUUGCCGCAAUAAUAGACUGUGGGCAGCUACACCCUUGGCAAACCUGGGCAAAGUCUUCCAGUAAUCAGACAUCUGGUUUCAAGCCCAAUUACAAUCUCACAGUCAUACCAAGAGGUUCAUUUUAUUCCCCUCCGUUUCCCCAGGAGCACUGGUGGGGAAGGAGACCCAGGUCUUACACGUAACAGGUAAAGCACAAACUUGAACCUGGGUUUCCAAGGACAGAUUUAACUGAUGGGGCCAGAAGGAGUGCAUACAGAUACUGUUUUCUAAUGUAAAAUAUCUCUAGGAUAAAUCAAAUGGAAAGUAAUGACUAUUUUAUACUUCUUCCAAAACUGCAUAGGGCUUGGGAAGGAUGUCCAGCUAAUUUUAUGAGAUUCUGUAUCACAACAGAAACUUAGCAGUGACAUAUUGAAGUAUGACUUUCCUUUUCCUUUAGCAUUGCUGUUUCCAUAACCAUAUGGUUCAGAGUUGCAGACAUGUGUAUAAUAGAAAACUAAGGAAAACAGAAGAUGUAACGUAAAAUGGAAAAAGACUGGAUGGUAUCCCUAGUGCCGUAAGGUUCUGAUGCAAUUAAUAUAGGGAUAAGGGUGUGAAAUGCUUCAUUCCCUAAAUACCUGCAUUCCCUCAUCUCUAGAUGCCAGCCAGAAUCUUGGAUGCCAGACACUUAUACUAGCAGCUAAAAUACAAUUUAAAAAUGGAUGGCAGAAAGAAAUGACAGACUUGUACAGCUUGCUUAGGAGUGGGAUAAACCUAACCUUAAAAUACAUCUGUGUUUUUGGAAAACUGUAGAUUUCCCAGAGCCCAGUUUAGUGCUUACAACUGAAUGGCAAGUGGUCAGAACAUCUAUGAACAUACAUUUUUUAGACCCAAGUUCUCUAUUCUAUUAAACUUCUGAAAAUUAACCUAAAAUAUUUAUAUUAACUUGUCACUUUAGUUAUGGAAGAACUAUUUCUUAAUACUUAGUAUUUAUUAUUUGAUAAUCAGGGAGUUAAUCCAAAAAUAUUUAUAUAAACUUGUCACUGCAGUGGUGGAGGCACUACUUAUUAAUGAUUAGCAUUUAUUACUUAAUAAUUGGGGAAUCGAUAAUAUUUCAGAAGUUUACGUAAUCCUCCACAUGCUCAUCUGACUAUCCAGGCUAUUUCAGAAGUUUCUCAGCAAGUAUUUGUAAACUCUACCUCUUUGUACAACCACCAGCUGAUCCGCUCCAAGAUGUGGCUUACCCAUACUUCAUCUCUUCAUCAGCUCCUUCCGAUUCACAGAGGAGAUGCUUCGGGCCUGUUGUGUCUCCUGUAGACGCAACAGCAUUUCAGACUAUGACUGAUGUGAUUUAAAAAAGCAAUACAAAUAAUAAUACAAGUCAGUUUCCAACAAAUAAUAAUACAAGUCAGUUUCCAAGUUCUUUUACUUGCACUUUGGGAACAUAAUACGGAAAUAAUAGGCUCUGUUCAUAAACAGGAAUGUAGUUUAGUUCUAGGUUCUCAAAUAUUGUUUCUUUCCCUUUUCUUCUCCUCCCCAUCAAUUUUCUUGAUAAUCUUUCCUCUUCAUCAUUUUUCUUGAUAAAUGAGGGAGUUAUCACAAACACUAUACCCCACUUUUCAUUACCAGUGGCACUUUUUAUAAGAAAAUAAGGCUUAAAAAAAGGUUGCUGCACAACAUGCAGAUACUUCAUCUAGCUCUGAAUGAGCUGGAAACAGUACGAAAACAGGAAUAGAGCUCUCUGCCUGAGCUAACAUUGCCUGCUGUGCAAGGCAUCGCAUUGUGACAUGAAGACAUACCUUAACAUUUUGUUUCAUUUUAGAUUCAGGCGCUUUAGUUUACUGUAUGAGGGAAUCCUAAUUUCCUGCCAAAGACUUACCCCUGGAGGUGUAAAAUACUAAAGUAAAGAAAGCUACUUUGUUUUGUACAGCAGCAGGAAGAGGUACUAGGCAAACGUAAUUCUUGCAUGUGAAAAGUCAAGGGAACUGUUGCAGGACUAAUCAAGUCAAUUCCUUCAUUCAUACUGGGGGGAUCUGAACUGGCCAAAAGCCAUCGACCUCAUCUGUGGGACAACAGACAACUGUGAAGACCCUACAGACAGUACUUGAACAGCUGACUGGAAGCUAAGUAGGACCACAAUUUAUCAAGAGCUUCCUGAAAAAAAACAGCCUAAUUUUGCAUGUGAUGAACAGCAAUACAAACAGAGACACGCUAGUGGAGAAUAAAAUGACAAUAUAAAAUGCGAACAACACCUUUUAAAAGUGACUUGAUAGAAUCUCUGAAAUAAAUGGCCUAGGUAGUUAGUAUUAUCGAUGGAUAUUAUUAACGCAAUUAUUAAUUGCAUGGGCAUGUCCAUGCAUGCUCCAAAAAAUGUGUGCAAAUUGCCAGAUACAGAAUGUAACAGGUUUGCCCUUCCUGUUUGAAAGCAUGGCUAUCAUCAAAGCAAUAUAUCAGAUGUUCAUAAGGCCAAGCCUGAAGCCUUUUCUGUGGGAGACCAACACACUUGAAAAUAAAAAUCUUUUAAUAACCUGAAGGCAGCAAAGCUGGUGAAGUCAAUGGAAAAACAGAAACAAUCUUUCCCCCAGGAGUUACAUAGGUAUGGACCUGCAUUUUAAAAAUUAACACUAACGUGCCUCUCACUUUCUGAGUGUUCAGCUAGGAAUACCCUGACGAUGACUAACCUUCGGAGAGCGCUAAAGCAAACAUUUAGAAACGCUCAGAAAGGCUCAAGUUUGCCUUUCAAAGAAUGAUGCUCCCAAAAAUCAAUUCCGCGGGUUUUGUCCCAGCAAAAACAUGGCACUGAGUUCUGUGCAGCUGAAGUAAUAAACAAAAUAAUACUUCAGUAAAAGAGAGCUAAAGAGGCAAAGAGAGAAUCCUGAAUCCCUGUGAAAAGAGCCCUGCGACGGACUGUUGAAUUUGCACAGUGAGGGGGGUGCCCUGAGUGCCGGGCCUGCAGUAGAAGAGACAGUCUCCUGUCGACAUGAAACAGAAUAGAAGAACAAUCUGAAAUGCAAAUCACUGCUGAUACCUGUAACUGUGAUGAAAAUACAUGACAGGACCUUUAUCAGUCUCUUCCUCAAGAACCCCGAAUAUACAGAUACUGUCUCCUUUCGGAAGUGGAUUUCUCAAUGACUUUUCAAAAAAAGAGACUGUAGCACGGAGCUUCUUCACACAUUUCUCCUGAGUGACGCUAGUAGAGAGAACAUUAAUAGUUCAUCAGCUUUACAUAAAGCAAGACCCAGCCACUGCUUUCAUGUACACACAUGAUUAAAGUUACGUACCAAAAUAAUCCCAGUGAAAUCAAAUAAUUCAUUGCACACAAAGAGUGUGUGGAAGCCUCUUCAGGACUGUGGAGCACCAGUACGUGUAAAGUCCCUUUCUGAAAUAUUUGUUAAGAUAGCUACAUUGGUAUCUAAGAAUGACUUUAAUGCUGGCCUGACAUGGCUGGUUCAGUGGUGCUGGAAUAAAAAAAUUAGGAGACUAACUAUUAAUUUUUCUAGUUCAAAUAUUUUUGAGAAGUCUCUAUUAUGCUACCCUGUCAACUUUCCUCCCCACCUUUUAACUGAAAACUUUUAACUUCAAUUUUUUAUAAAACGUUACAGUCAACAAGAUCAUACCUUUUUUUAGAGAUAAUGGACCAGAUGGGGAAAUAAUAGCAACAGAGUAUCUAAGCUGAUACAGCUCUCUAUGUAUUUUGAAGCGUUGAUGCAAUUGAUUCUAGAAUACACAAGACAUUAUUCAGAAUUAGCAAAAUGAGCUACUUCAUUGGCUGCUUUGUGGCAAUGUACCAUCACAGCAACAAAACGACAGCAUGCAAGAAUGAAACGAUAGUUGAGAGGACAAAAUGACAUCUGGAGAGAUGAAUUACCAAAGCUCAGCACAAGCUGGCCAUUUUCCUUUUUCUAACAAUUUUUCUUCCACCAGAUUCACCUGUCCGUCCAUGUUUUUAGGUAUAUCUAUUUAACAUUUUUCAUAUUCUUUUAGUAGGAGGGACUACGAUGGAUAAUACAAAACAAAUCAGUUUCUUAGAAAGAAGCAACAUUUUACAGUCAGAGACAGAGAUUUUUCUUUUAUUUACUCUUUUGGUAUUCACUGGUAUUUCCCCUUAGUUUAAACCUCAUUUCUUUCUUCUUGUUGUUCACCUUACGAAGGUUGCAGAUUUAUGUAUGUAUGGCUUAUGGCAAUAUGUUUGUCUCGUGCCUGUUCUUUCGCUUGUUCUCU
Non-coding RNA from Struthio camelus australis, 6506 nucleotides. The record is from RefSeq and is a predicted model, not a curated record. NCBI's taxonomy places the organism in Eukaryota, Metazoa, Chordata, Aves, Struthioniformes, Struthionidae.